This is a long non-coding RNA of Amphiprion ocellaris (clown anemonefish), 1411 nucleotides long. The record is from Ensembl. Lineage: Eukaryota; Metazoa; Chordata; Actinopteri; Pomacentridae.
AAACUAUUUAUUGUCUCACCAAUAAAACCCACAACAUAGAAGCACGUCCACUGCUGUGUUGUGUGUUAGUUUGUGUGUUCAGUGGAACAGAUCCAGAGCAGAACUUCAGGUUUAACUCGGGUUUGUUCUCAGAAACACUCAGACCCUCAGCAGCCUCCCAUCAGAACAUGCAGCACAUCAGCUUGAUUUGCUAAAAUACAUCGGAACAAACUGAGACCACGUUGUUUAAACUAGUCACUCAGAAAACUGUAAAAACUCGUUCAGUCAUCCACGUCCUAACCGUCAUUCAGAGCACUUUAACCACUGACAAUAUUUAUAAAAAAAAAAAAAAAAAAAGGGAAGUAAAGGGAUUUGAUCUGGUCAAAACAAACAAUGGUUUAUUCGUUCUACACAGGGAGCCAUGAGCACUUAUUGCAUGUAUUGAAGUGACUACAGUCAUAUAUGAAUGUUACAGCUACAGAUAUUCCUGUUGGACUCUGAAGAUAUUGUGCUGCCAUAUUUAUAUAUUUAGCCUACAUGUACUGAAAGGUGGAUUAGGAACAUGUCAUUAAAUCAGAUACUGUCAAACACCACAAUUCACAUUAGUCUUCCUCUGCGACAUCAUUAAAAGUAUCUUCUGCCAUUUCUAAACCAGCCAGGGUGUUUGGGAAGACACAAAUCACACAAAUAUAUUGUUUGUUUUGACCAGGUCGGAUCCCGUUACUUCCUUUAAAAAAAAAAAUAUUGUCAGUGGUUAACGUGCUUUGAAAUGAUACCCCCUGGCUCUUCUAAAAAAAAAAAAAAAACAAAACAACUGGCUUAAACGUUUAAUAUAUCACUUAGUCAUUUAUGCUACAAAAUGUUAUCAAAAAAAAAUCUCACAGGUGUAAAUGUCUCACUCUCCUAACCUACACUCCCCACUGGAGAACCCCCUCCUCCUUCUACAUUUCUCUCUGUCCCUCUCUAUAUGUCUCCCUUUAGCCCUCUCCCCCUCUCACACACUCACCCCCCACACUCUCACUCACACUCUAUGUACCCCCCAUGUUUAUUGUGCUUGUAUGUUUUAUAAUGUGUUUGUUGAUAGUUUUCCAGGCAAUGAUGUGCUAUUAUAUAAUGUAUAUAUAGAUCCUGACCUGCUGUAUACAUCUCUCUCCAACACCCACAGCUCACAGACAGCAACAGACAGCUCACAAGGACACACACAGAUGUUAUAUUAUAUUGCUACAUACUCAGUGACAGAACAUCUUCUCUCUCUAUGUUCAAGUUUAAUAUCGUAGCCUGGAAUGUUCAUGGCAUACGCUCACAAACAAAAAGAGUUAAAAUCAUGGACUAUGUCUCUAAAUUAAAAGCAGAUAUUUUGCUCCUCCAAGAAACGCAUUUACUACAGUCGGAAGAAAAAUGUUUAUCAGACUCGAAUUAUAGUAUUAUCUUU